CCUACGGGGGGCAGCAGUCGGGAAUAUUGCGCAAUGGAGGAAACUCUGACGCAGUGACGCCGCGUAUAGGAAGAAGGUUUUCGGAUUGUAAACUAUUGUCGUUAGGGAAGAUAAAAGACUGUACCUAAGGAGGAAGCCCCGGCUAACUAUGUGCCAGCAGCCGCGGUAAUACAUAGGGGGCAAGCGUUAUCCGGAUUUAUUGGGUUUAAAGGGUGCGUAGGCGGAUUUUUAAGUCAGCGGUAAAAUGUCCGGGCUCAACCCGGGCCGGCCGUUGAAACUGGGGAUCUUGAGUGGGCGAGAAGUAG
RNAcentral lists this ribosomal RNA (305 nucleotides) under uncultured bacterium. Its description in RNAcentral is "bacterial SSU rRNA". It matches the Rfam family "Bacterial small subunit ribosomal RNA", at positions 338 to 660 of the family's 1533-position model. The record is from RNAcentral.